RNAcentral lists this ribosomal RNA (515 nucleotides) under uncultured bacterium. RNAcentral's name for it is "partial 16S ribosomal RNA". It matches the Rfam family "Bacterial small subunit ribosomal RNA", at positions 28 to 523 of the family's 1533-position model. The record is from RNAcentral.
GACGAACGCUGGCGGCGUGCCUAAUACAUGCAAGUCGAGCGGACUUUCAAGAAGCUUGCUUUUUGAAAGUUAGCGGCGGACGGGUGAGUAACACGUGGGCAACCUGCCUGUAAGACGGGGAUAACUCCGGGAAACCGGGGCUAAUACCGGAUAAUAUCUUUCUUCGCAUGAAGGAAGGUUGAAAGGCGGCGCAAGCUGCCGCUUGCAGAUGGGCCCGCGGCGCAUUAGCUAGGUGGUGAGGUAACGGCUCACCAAGGCGACGAUGCGUAGCCGACCUGAGAGGGUGAUCGGCCACACUGGGACUGAGACACGGCCCAGACUCCUACGGGAGGCAGCAGUAAGGAAUCUUCCGCAAUGGACGAAAGUCUGACGGAGCAACGCCGCGUGAGCGAAGAAGGUCUUCGGAUCGUAAAGCUCUGUUGUCAGGGAAGAACAAGUACCGUUCGAAUAGGGCGGUACCUUGACGGUACCUGACCAGAAAGCCACGGCUAACUACGUGCCAGCAGCCGCCGUAA